RNAcentral lists this ribosomal RNA (256 nucleotides) under uncultured bacterium. RNAcentral's name for it is "partial 16S ribosomal RNA". It matches the Rfam family "Bacterial small subunit ribosomal RNA", at positions 524 to 776 of the family's 1533-position model. The record is from RNAcentral.
UACGUAGGGUGCAAGCGUUGUCCGGAAUUAUUGGGCGUAAAGAGCUCGUAGGCGGUCUGUCGCGUCUGCUGUGAAAACCUGGGGCUUAACCCCGGGCCUGCAGUGGGUACGGGCAGACUAGAGUGUGGUAGGGGAGACUGGAAUUCCUGGUGUAGCGGUGAAAUGCGCAGAUAUCAGGAGGAACACCGGUGGCGAAGGCGGGUCUCUGGGCCAUAACUGACGCUGGAGGAGCGAAAAGCGUUGGGGAGCGAACAGG